Long non-coding RNA from Bactrocera neohumeralis, 491 nucleotides. RefSeq lists it as uncharacterized. The transcript is spliced from 2 exons. Lineage: Eukaryota; Metazoa; Arthropoda; Insecta; Diptera; Tephritidae. The record is from RefSeq and is a predicted model, not a curated record.
GCUGUCCAUUCAAAUAUUUUGUUUAAAUGUUCCUGCAAUCUUGCAAUUGAUGCAGUUUGUGUUUUGCCGACAGACAGAACCGCAGUAUCAUCUGCAAAUGUUGAUGUAAUACAAUUGUCGUCAUAUGGUAGAUCGCACGUAAAGAGUAGGUAAAGAAUGGGUCCUAACACACUACCCUGAGGAACACCAGCCUUUAUUUUUUCUUUAAAUCAGAGUACAUAUCUCCAUGUUUAAUUCGAAAAAAACGGUCCGAAAGGAGCCCGCCAUGGCAAACUUUAUCAAAGGCUUUAGACACAUCGAGAAAAACGGCCGAGCAAACUUUUUUGUCUUCGAAUGCAUUUUCAAUGACUCGAGUUAUUCUAUGUACUUGGUCAAUAGUGGAGUGAUUUUUUCGAAAGCCAAACUGAUGCGCUGGUAUCAGCUUCUCAGCUUAAAAUAAAAUAAAAAUAAAAAUGAAAAAACCUAAAAUGAAACAAGUAAGAAAAUACUAA